RNAcentral lists this transfer RNA (73 nucleotides) under Deltaproteobacteria bacterium. RNAcentral describes it as "tRNA-Thr". It matches the Rfam family "tRNA". From Rfam's summary of the family: Transfer RNA (tRNA) molecules are approximately 80 nucleotides in length. Their secondary structure includes four short double-helical elements and three loops (D, anti-codon, and T loops). Lineage: Bacteria; Pseudomonadati; Myxococcota; Myxococcia. The record is from RNAcentral.
GCUGACGUAGCUCAGUUGGUAGAGCAGCUGCCUUGUAAGCAGCAGGUCGCGGGUUCGAGUCCCGCCGUCAGCU